CGAUGAUUUUUUCGUAAAUAAAAAAACCCAUAUACUACAAUUUAGCGUUUGCGCGACGGUUUUAAAUCAAAUACACACUUCAUAUACUACAUUCGGCCGAAAAUAUACUACGAUGGACGGUUCAUAUACGUUCAAAAGUGUAAAACCUCUGUUUUAUAUUAACUCCAAAGUACUAAAUACACAUCGAAAUAAAAAUGAAAUC
This is a regulatory RNA element of 202 nucleotides. It matches the Rfam family "Baculoviridae Nucleocapsid Assembly essential Element". From Rfam's summary of the family: Internal cis-element within the ac83 gene. The record is from Rfam.